This 270-nucleotide long non-coding RNA is filed under the name Elaeis guineensis (African oil palm). Its description in RNAcentral is "long non-coding RNA (EGUI_LNC015436)". Lineage: Eukaryota; Viridiplantae; Streptophyta; Magnoliopsida; Arecales; Arecaceae. The record is from RNAcentral.
CCAUGGCCACAAUAGCAACUCUUGUCCCAUUGUCAAUUUUAAGGGUUACUUCCUUAGUCCUCUACCUUCCCAUAGACUCUAUGCAUAAGAAGCACUAGAGUUUAAAACUCAACUGGGAGAAGAAGAAAUCGUAAGGAUAAUAUUGAGUAAUUUCAACAUGCCUACUCAAAGUAUGUCCUUGUUUCUUUAGGCUCUUCAGGUAUGUACCUCUGAACUUUUCAAGGUUCUUUAGUUGUCAAUAUUUUGACCAAUUCAGAUAGGAUACCAAGA